Molecule: ribosomal RNA, 424 nt
Filed under: uncultured bacterium
Lineage: Bacteria
Description: bacterial SSU rRNA
Rfam family: Bacterial small subunit ribosomal RNA
Source: RNAcentral
UGAGGAAUAUUGGUCAAUGGAGGCAACUCUGAACCAGCCAUGCCGCGUGCAGGAAGACGGCCCUAUGGGUUGUAAACUGCUUUUAUACAGGAAGAAACGGAUCUACGUGUAGGUCUUUGACGGUACUGUAAGAAUAAGCACCGGCUAACUCCGUGCCAGCAGCCGCGGUAAUACGGAGGGUGCAAGCGUUAUCCGGAAUCAUUGGGUUUAAAGGGUCCGCAGGCGGUCAAUUAAGUCAGAGGUGAAAUCCCGCAGCUUAACUGUGGAACUGCCUUUGAUACUGGUUGACUUGAGUUAUACGGAAGUAGAUAGAAUAUGUAGUGUAGCGGUGAAAUGCAUAGAUAUUACAUAGAAUACCGAUUGCGAAGGCAGUCUACUACGUAUAUACUGACGCUCAUGGACGAAAGCGUGGGGAGCGAACAGG